Molecule: long non-coding RNA, 186 nt
Organism: Melanotaenia boesemani (Boeseman's rainbowfish)
Lineage: Eukaryota; Metazoa; Chordata; Actinopteri; Atheriniformes; Melanotaeniidae
Exons: 4
Source: RefSeq, a predicted model, not a curated record
CCAACUUCUUUUACUUGCUGCAGAAAGUCCAGUCUGUUCUCAUCUUCUUCUUGGAGAGGUGUGUCUUUGUUGCCUUUCUGGACACCAGAGCUUUGUCCACAAGUCUUGGUCUAACUGCAGAAAACCUCCUUUCUGCUGCCACUCCUGCAGCUCUGCUCAUUCCACAGCAGCCUCGUCAGGAGGACG